This 292-nucleotide unclassified non-coding RNA is filed under the name uncultured fungus. Its description in RNAcentral is "sequence contains ITS1". The record is from RNAcentral. Lineage: Eukaryota; Fungi.
GGACUACCAGGGUUUCUAAUCCUGUUUGAUCCCCACGCUUUCGUGCCUCAGUGUCAAUAUUCGUGUAGCCAGCUGCCUUCGCAAUUGGUGUUCUAUGUCAUAUCUAAGCAUUUCACCGCUACAUGACAUAUUCCGCUGACCUCCACGGUAUUCAAGACUGAUAGUAUCAAUGGCAGUUCCCAAGUUAAGCUCGGGGAUUUCACCACUGACUUACCAACCCACCUACGCACCCUUUAAACCCAGUGAAUCCGGAUAACGCUUGCACCCUCCGUAUUACCGCGGCUGCUGGCAC